Non-coding RNA from Callorhinus ursinus (northern fur seal), 530 nucleotides. Lineage: Eukaryota; Metazoa; Chordata; Mammalia; Carnivora; Otariidae. The record is from RefSeq and is a predicted model, not a curated record.
CCUAGCAACAACUCUCAGAAGUUUGAAAUGGGUCUCACUGGGCCAAGCAAGGUGUCAGCCUUCCUUUGUGGAGACUGUAGAAGAGAUUGUUUUUCUUGCCUGUUCCAGCUGCUAGAGGCUGUAUGUUCCUUAACUGGUGAGUCCCCUCCAUCUUCAAAGUCAUCAAAGGCAGGUCUUUCUCACAGGGCCAUUUCUCGGUUUCUGACUUGCCUCUGCCUUGUUCCCUUAAGGAAUCUUGGGAUUACAUUUGGCCUACCAGAUAAUCCAGGAUAAUCUCAUUCUUUUAAGGCCAGCUGAUUAGCAACUUUAAUUCCAUCUGCAACCUUAAAUCCUCUUGCCAUGUAAUAUAACAAAUACACUGUUUCUGGUGAUUAGGACAUGCAUCCCUUUGUGGGGGGCAUUAUUUUGUCUACCACAACAUGUAAAACAAAACAAAACAAAAACAGGAAGAACAAAGGAAGAAAUAACAGUGAAUGGACAAAAUGGAGUGGUAACAUUAAUACCAGUAAUAAUAGUAAUAAGUAACAAGA